This is a long non-coding RNA of Tupaia belangeri chinensis (Chinese tree shrew), 1396 nucleotides long. RefSeq lists it as uncharacterized. The transcript is spliced from 3 exons. The record is from RefSeq and is a predicted model, not a curated record. Lineage: Eukaryota; Metazoa; Chordata; Mammalia; Scandentia; Tupaiidae.
CUACAUGCGGCUAAUGGCUAACAUGAUGGACAGCAGAGCUCUGGGGGAACUCAUUGACCCUAAAAUCACCACCUCCAUUGGCUGAUUUUGAAGCUGAGACAUGUUGUUGUGCUUUACCUAAAACCUCAUCUUGGCCUCUAAUUCAUAAUUACUCACCUAAUUAUUUACCCAGGUAAGGAGACAAUUCAUUUCAAGAGCAUACUGGUAAAUGUAAAAAUAUGGCUGCCAUGCGUGCUACAGGGGGAAAGUAUGUUGAGAGAGGUACGUAAAAACAGGAACUCUCCACACCCAGGAACUCUGUUUACACCCAGACCAUUGCCUAAGACUGUCCGCUGAUCAAUCUGCCCGUUUACUCGUUUGAAUGACUUCCUGAAGCUCGGGGGAAUAAGCCUUGCUUCUUAGGCCUAGGCGCUUGCCUGGCCUGUGCACUCAGCUCUGCAUCUGCUCAAAGUUCUGGCAUCUUCACUCUGACCUGCCCCUCGUUUUCGGUCCCUGAGUCCCAUUCUCACCCCCAUAGUCAGUGACCUCAACUGGUAUCAUCCUCCAACACUAGGGACUUGCCUUCCCCUCCUCCAGGUCUGAUGACCUUCUCCAAACCUAGGCCUAGAGGUUAAUGACAGGCCCUUGAGCUACCCUCGGCCACUUGGCUGUAUCCAACCAGGAAACUGGCUGGCCCCUCAACUGUACCACACCUGUCUCCUUCCCCUUCGCCCUGUGCUACCACCUACCAACAGAGCUCCAGCUCCAUCCUUCGGUGCUACAGGCCUCACCACCAGUUAUUGGUUUGAACACCCUACACCCAGCUAGUAACCACCCUGAGGUGCCCAAGACCACAGGCCAAGACCUAUUUCCAACCAGAUGGUGGGUUGGAAGCCAUGAUGGAGAAGUCACUUCUUGUUCUAAAGAAGAAGGGCACCUACAGGCCAAAGUGUGCAGCUCUAGCCAAGACCUGCCCCGUGGGCAUAGAAAGCCACCUGCACAACCCUGUGAGUUGUUCACAAAGUCCCUGCUGUGUAGAGGAAAGGCAAAGGCAACCCUCACACUUCCCCUGCUCAGCAGCCAGCAAACUUUUUUCUGCAAAGGGUCAAAGAGUAUUUUAGGUUUGGGAGCCAUGAGGUAAAACAGGGCACCUAUUGUCACUUGGAAGUGUUUUUUGCAUUUCAAAAAAAAUUGUAACGUGAAAACUAUGCUUACUAGUGGGCUGGAUCUGACCUGCAGGCUAUAAUGUGCCUGCCUUGGUCUUGUUGAAGAGGCAAGCAUUCAUCUAGGAGGCUAUUCAAAACAAUUAGAGAGCUCAAGGUAAACCAGAGACAAGAGUUAGAGACAGUCUUUAAUCAAACCCCUGAUCUCAAAAGGGAGCCAGUAAAAAAAGACAUUAUUAAGAUUUCCAUGCUUU